RNAcentral lists this transfer RNA (76 nucleotides) under Vibrio cholerae. RNAcentral's name for it is "tRNA-Gly". It matches the Rfam family "tRNA". From Rfam's summary of the family: Transfer RNA (tRNA) molecules are approximately 80 nucleotides in length. Their secondary structure includes four short double-helical elements and three loops (D, anti-codon, and T loops). RNAcentral also lists the same sequence under 1 other name. The record is from RNAcentral. Lineage: Bacteria; Pseudomonadati; Pseudomonadota; Gammaproteobacteria; Vibrionales; Vibrionaceae.
GCGACACUAGCUCAGUUGGUAGAGCGCAGCCUUGCCAAGGUUGAGGUCACGAGUUCGAACCUCGUGUGUCGCUCCA